RNAcentral lists this ribosomal RNA (445 nucleotides) under uncultured bacterium. RNAcentral describes it as "bacterial SSU rRNA". It matches the Rfam family "Bacterial small subunit ribosomal RNA", at positions 330 to 792 of the family's 1533-position model. The record is from RNAcentral.
UCCAGACUCCUACGGGAGGCAGCAGUGGGGAAUAUUGCACAAUGGGGGAAACCCUGAUGCAGCGACGCCGCGUGAGUGAAGAAGUAUUUCGGUAUGUAAAGCUCUAUCAGCAGGGAAGAAAAUGACGGUACUUGAUUAAGAAGCCCCGGCUAACUACGUGCCAGCAGCCGCGGUAAUACGUAGGGGGCAAGCGUUAUCCGGAUUUACUGGGUGUAAAGGGAGCGUAGACGGUGAUGCAAGUCAGAAGUGAAAGCCCGGGGCUCAACUCCGGGACUGCUUUUGAAACUGUGUGACUGGAGUGCAGGAGAGGUAAGCGGAAUUCCUGGUGUAGCGGUGAAAUGCGUAGAUAUCAGGAGGAACACCAGUGGCGAAGGCGGCUUACUGGACUGUAACUGACGUUGAGGCUCGAAAGCGUGGGGAGCAAACAGGAUUAGAUACCCGCGUA